GAAACCACCGGCAGAAGGAGCGCCCACCAAGUGUUCGGUUCUUUUCCCAAGUGGGAUAUUCAAACACAAGGGCACUAUUUGGUGAAGUUGAUGGUAAGAAACCAACUCCACUUUAUUAUCACUUGCUAAUGCCCAACAUCUCUGUUCUUGUGACCUAUAACUAUUUUCUACAGUUUAUUAUCUUUUAGUGAUCGAUUUGGUAAUCAGUUGGUGUAAUAUCUUGCCCUUUUUUAGUUUGUGCUGGCCUGAAAGCAUCUACUACGCUGUGAUAUGUGACUAAGUUCUUUGUGUUAUCACCGACUUCAUAUGUACUUGAGAAUAUAGAUGUUACCGAGCCACUUAAAUUAUAUUUUUAGAUGGAGUAAUAUUAGCACACCAAGGUUUGUAUAUAUAUAUUAUUGUUGUUUCUUUAAUAAACGAACGUUGCAGGUGGCUGAAGCUACAGUAAGAUCCAAACCAUACCGUCCAUGGCUAAAAUCUUAACAUUCUUGGUUUCCAUCCAAACCUGGGCUUUACAAGAUCAUGUCUUAAGGUUAAGCAUUUUCAGUUUGAGAAACCUACUCAAUGUUCUACCAUUUCCAGAUAAAUUCAACAAACAUCUGUUGUGUCGACUCUUAUGAUAGGUUUCAAUUUUAGGUAAAUGAUGAAUCAUUGGGGACAUAAUUUUUAUAGCAGAGGGGGAAAAUGUAUCCACAUCAAAAAGUUCCUUUUUCAUACCAAGGAACUGAGAAGUACUUCCGUCGGGAGUAAUUUCCACACUAAUGUUUCGCCUUAAAAGACAAUCUCAAGUAUUUUAAACAGUGUUGAUACCUUAGUUUCAUUUCAUUUUGAUUACCCGAACGUGAAAAGUAGUAUAUGUUAUGAGAUUAUUUUGGAGUGUGUUAUUUUAUCCGCAGAAAUUAGUGUUGUAUGCGUGAUUCGGGCUACAAUUUUAUUUUAUUUUUGCUUUUUUGGACGUAGUGAUUAAAUGGUGUGGGCUACGGCUGUAAUCUACCGAUUUGGUGUACGAAUCACUUAUUGAGAUGCUCCAUCAAAUAUUUCUGGAUGCCUCACUUUGGCUCUAUGUUUACUUGAUCAACUUAUCAAGCUUUGAGACUUCGGAACUUGCCUAUUUGAGGAGCUUGAUUUUCUAUAUCUUGGCCAAAGUGAGGCCCACGAAAAGUUGAUCAAUACGUACCUACACUUGUGAAAUUAUUCUCUGAAGUGAACAUCUUCACUGUUUAUCCUCUAUAAAACUUCAUACUUAGAUCUGGAUUACUCUAUGGCUGCGGUUAUAGUCUUCUUAAUUGUACCAUUACACUAGCAUUUUCUCAUCUGAUUCUAGGCAUUUGUUGCCCUCUCACAAUCCCAUGAAAACUUUGCAGUUGUUACUUGAGUUUAAGUUGUACAUAGUGAAGAUGAGAAAUGGUGGGUUCCUUUAAAUAUAUGGUUUGGGAGAUAUGCAGGAAGCUGGAAAAUAAAUUACCAAGCUCAAAACCGGGGGAAAUCACUGAAGUACCAAAUAGGAAAACAGAUGAUGGAACUGCUUCUCAAGUCAAAGAUAUCCUAAGGCCACGACACAUAGUUUGUUGAAACAGCAAUAGAUUGACUGGAUACUCUCUCGCUUGAGCGAAGAUACCCUUGUGUAAGUGUUAAGUAUGGGGGCCUGCCUGAGGAGAUGGCACUCCGGAGCUCCGCCAGAUCAGGCUGAAGAACUUGGCGCACACGGUCAUGGGGUUACCCUCCAGAAGACACUGCAGGAGAGGAGAGGCCCGUGGGACACGAACUGUCUAUCUGACGAACAGAUUUACCAUGUCUACUUGCAGGUCAACUAAGCUGUUAAUCGGCCACUACUACUACUAGCUAUGCAAUUAAUUGUUAGCCUCAUGAUCCUGACAAUAGUUCUUUCGCCAUGAUUCUUUGCGUGAUUAUUAUUUCACCAAUAUGUUUCUGCAAGAUGUGUCCUAAUCAUCUUGAUUUUUCCAGCAUAUUAAUUAACCGUUUGCUUUUCUCUAUUUUAUUGGGAGGUCUCUAUUUUGUUGUUCAAAUUAAGUAUGGUCUGGGAGAGGUGGCUGCUUUUGAUGAUAUUCUAGAUCAGCCUUGGCAGCUAACA
Triticum dicoccoides is the source of this 2092-nucleotide long non-coding RNA. RefSeq lists it as uncharacterized. The record is from RefSeq and is a predicted model, not a curated record. Lineage: Eukaryota; Viridiplantae; Streptophyta; Magnoliopsida; Poales; Poaceae. The transcript is spliced from 4 exons.